CUGAGAGUUUGAUCCUGGCUCAGAACGAACGCUGGCGGCAUGCCUAACACAUGCAAGUCGAACGGCUCUUCGGAGCAGUGGCGCACGGGUGAGUAACGCGUGGGAACCUACCUCGAGGUACGGAAUAACGGCUGGAAACGGCCGCUAAUACCGUAUGUGUCCUAAGGGAGAAAGAUUUAUCGCCUUGAGAGGGGCCCGCGUCCGAUUAGCUAGUUGGUGAGGUAAUGGCUCACCAAGGCUGUGAUCGGUAGCUGGUCUGAGAGGAUGAUCAGCCACACUGGGACUGAGACACGGCCCAGACUCCUACGG
Molecule: ribosomal RNA, 309 nt
Filed under: Alexandrium margalefii
Lineage: Eukaryota; Dinophyceae; Gonyaulacales; Pyrocystaceae
Description: partial Bacterial small subunit ribosomal RNA
Rfam family: Bacterial small subunit ribosomal RNA
Source: RNAcentral